CUACUAGCCUACGACGGGUACGGGUUGUGAGAGCAAGAGCCCGGAGAUGGAUUCUGAAACACGAAUCCAGGCCCUACGGGGUGCAGCAGGCGCGAAAACUUUACAAUGCCGGCAACGGCGAUAAGGGGACCUCGAGUGCCAGGUUACAAAUCUGGCUGUCGUGAUGCCUAAAAAGCAUUGCAUAGCAAGGGCCGGGCAAGACCGGUGCCAGCCGCCGCGGUAACACCGGCGGCUCGAGUGGUAACCGUUAUUAUUGGGUCUAAAGGGUCUGUAGCCGGCCGGAUAAGUCUCUUGAGAAAUCCAGCAGCUCAACUGUUGGGCUUUCAGGAGAUACUGUUCGGCUCGAGGCCGGGAGAGGUGAGAGGUACUUCAGGGGUAGGGGUGAAAUCUUGUAAUCCUUGAAGGACCACCAGUGGCGAAGGCGUCUCACCAGAACGGACCUGACGGCAAGGGACGAAAGCUAGGGGCACGAACCGGAUUAGAUACCCGGGUAGUCCUAGCCGUAAACGAUACUCGCUAGGUGUCGGCCACGGUGCGACCGUUGUCGGUGCCGUAGGGAAGCCGUGAAGCGAGC
RNAcentral lists this ribosomal RNA (574 nucleotides) under uncultured archaeon. RNAcentral describes it as "bacterial SSU rRNA". It matches the Rfam family "Archaeal small subunit ribosomal RNA", at positions 250 to 824 of the family's 1478-position model. The record is from RNAcentral.